Molecule: long non-coding RNA, 1792 nt
Filed under: Trifolium pratense (red clover)
Lineage: Eukaryota; Viridiplantae; Streptophyta; Magnoliopsida; Fabales; Fabaceae
Description: long non-coding RNA (TPRA_LNC002409)
Source: RNAcentral
UACUUUUAUCUUUUUCUCUCAGUAUUUUUAUCUUUCUACUUGUCUGAUCUCCAUUUUUUCUCUUCUCAUCUUGCAGGAAAACUAUUCAUUUUUUGAACAACAACACAAGUAUACGAAAUUUGUUUUCUCUUUCACAAAAGGUAUGAAGAUACGAUCAAACUUUGUUUUUUUUUUUGUUGCUAAUUUAUCAUCUUUGUUCAUUUAUUCUAUUUGUCCUCAAACUCUAUCAUUUUUAGCAUGCUUACCAACUCGAUCAAACAAAUAGUUUAUUUUCUUUAUAUGCAGAUUACCAACACUAAAACAAAGUUGAGGCUUAAGGAUGUAAAUAUGGUAAUACUCAAAGACUUUAAAUUUUAUUAUUGUUUUUGUUCAAAUUUGGUAUGCAGUUUUGAACAAAUAUUUGUUGUUGUUCUGUUUUCUAACAUAUGUUGCUAUUUCUUACUUUUCUUUUUCAGAUCUGUAAAUGAAAAUUUAAAAAAAGGAAAAAGUUGAAGGUUGUAAUCUUACUUUUCUUUUUCUUUUUCUUUUUCAGAUCUGUAAAAAGUAUAUCAAUACUUAACAUAAAUUAAAUAUUGUUAGACAGAAGACAUGAAAAUUUAAAAAAAAGAAAAAGAUGAAGGUUGUAGUCUUCCUUUUCUUUUUAUUUUUCAGAUCUGUAAAAAUUAUAUCAAUACUUAACAUUGAUCUUAAAUAUUGUUAGAUAGAAGACAAUGAAAAAAUUUAAAAAAAAAAUGAAGGUUGUAAUAAAUGGAAGUGAAUAGUAAUGAGAAAAGAUAGAAAUAAGGUUACCGAACAAAUACAACUUCUUUGUACUCUUUAUCUUUUUAUUCUAUAUUAAUAUUAGUUUUAAUUUUUCACCACUCAUUAAAAUAUCCUUUAGAUGAAUAAAGAAGAUCAUAAUUUAACAAUAAAUUUCUUGACGAAAUCAAAGAAAAAUGGAGAAAAUAAAAAAUAUGAAACUAUAUAUUUUUAAAAGAUAAAAAAAAAAAACAAUCAAAUCCAAAAAAAUCAAUCAAAGUUUCUUGUCCUUUUGUUUUUCACUUUCAUUAAAUUUUGCAACAACUUNNNNNNNNNNNNNNNNNNNNNNNNNNNNNNNNNNNNNNNNNNNNNNNNNNNNNNNNNNNNNNNNNNUACAAACAAACCAAAAAGGAAUAAAAACAUAUAGUGCUCUUCAUAUACAAAUUGAAAAUCCAAAUAGAUCUAAAAAAACACAAACAGAACAAAUCUAAAAAAUUAACAGCUACCACAAGAAAAGUUAAGUUUAUAAAUCUAAACUUUAUUAUUAUUGUUGUAUGCAUGAGAGAAGGAAAGAAGACAAAAGUAAUAUAUUUACAAAAAAAAAUCUAAUGACAAAUACCAACCAUGUACUCACAAGAUAUUUACAAAAUAGAAGGAUUUCAUUUUCCCACACGGUGAAUGCAAUUUCCGGCGCGGUUGUCACCGGUGAAAUUAGUCCGAUCUGGAUUUUUACUUUGUGAGUUUUGUAGUGAAUAUCAAUGAGAGUCUUUAUAUGAUGGUGAUUUUUUUGAAGGUUAUCUAUGGUGAUGGAGAUCUAGAAGAAAAGGUCGCGGGUCGGAGAAAUAUAACAUAGAAAGAAAAAAAAAAUUGGUGGAAGGAAGAUAAAUGAUAACUUGAGAAGAUGAGUUGCCGUUGUUCCUUGUCUUUCCCUUCUGCAUCUUUGAUUUUGCCGUUGUUCUUUUACAAAUGGAGGAGAUGGACAUCACUUUUACAAAUGGAGGAGAUUGAUUUUGUCAAAUAAAUUAAAAACAAAAGAAACAUAGAGGAAAGNNNN